AGGAAAAGAGGAUGAAAUUUUUUUGUAUAUAAUGGAAUGAUGUGGUGUAGGAAGAAAUGUAGUGAAGGUAUUUAUAGGAAGAGUUUUGGAAUUGGGAAGAGAAGUGGGUGAGAAAAAAUUAAUGGGGAUAGAGAGGUGAGUUGAAUGGGGGUAAAGAGGAAUUGGAAAGGGGAGUAACGGUCUGGUCAUAACGGUCAACAACAUUUACGAG
RNAcentral lists this long non-coding RNA (211 nucleotides) under Lathyrus oleraceus (garden pea). Its description in RNAcentral is "Pisum sativum (pea) long non-coding RNA (PSAT_LNC015457)". The record is from RNAcentral. Lineage: Eukaryota; Viridiplantae; Streptophyta; Magnoliopsida; Fabales; Fabaceae.